This 505-nucleotide ribosomal RNA is filed under the name uncultured bacterium. RNAcentral's name for it is "partial 16S ribosomal RNA". It matches the Rfam family "Bacterial small subunit ribosomal RNA", at positions 28 to 507 of the family's 1533-position model. The record is from RNAcentral.
GACGAACGCUGGCGGCGUGCCUAAUACAUGCAAGUAGAACGCACAGUUUAUACCGUAGCUUGCUACACCAUAGACUGUGAGUUGCGAACGGGUGGGUAACGCGUAGGUAACCUGCCUGGUAGCGGGGGAUAACUAUUGGAAACGAUAGCUAAUACCGCAUAAUAUUAAUUAUUGCAUGAUAAUUAAUUGAAAGGUGCAAUUGCACCACUACCAGAUGGACCUGCGUUGUAUUAGCUAGUAGGUGAGGUAACGGCUCACCUAGGCGACGAUACAUAGCCGACCUGAGAGGGUGAUCGGCCACACUGGGACUGAGACACGGCCCAGACUCCUACGGGAGGCAGCAGUAGGGAAUCUUCGGCAAUGGACGAAAGUCUGACCGAGCAACGCCGCGUGAGUGAAGAAGGUUUUCGGAUCGUAAAGCUCUGUUGUAAUAGAAGAACGGGUGUGAGAGUGGAAAGUUCACACUGUGACGGUAUCUUACCAGAAAGGGACGGCUAAUUACGUG